RNAcentral lists this ribosomal RNA (501 nucleotides) under Mongolotmethis gobiensis. RNAcentral describes it as "partial 16S ribosomal RNA". It matches the Rfam family "Archaeal large subunit ribosomal RNA", at positions 1934 to 2672 of the family's 2987-position model. Lineage: Eukaryota; Metazoa; Arthropoda; Insecta; Orthoptera; Pamphagidae. The record is from RNAcentral.
UGAAAAUUAGGUCUGGCCUGCUCACUGACUUGUUUUAAAAGAGCCGCGGUAUUUUGACCGUGCAAAGGUAGCAUAAUCAUUAGUCUCUUAAUUAGAGGCUGGAAUGAAUGGUUUGACGAGGAAUUGACUGUCUCUAUUUAAUAUCUAGAAUUUAACUUUUGAGUUAAAAGGCUUAAAUUUUUCUUUAGGACGAGAAGACCCUAUAGAGCUUAAUAUAUAAUUUUUAUAUAGUUUUUAGUUUGUUUUCCUAUAUUUAAUUUAAUAUAUUUUGUUGGGGUGACAUGAAGGAUAAUUAAACCCUUCAUUAUUAAAUCAUUGAUUUAUGUUAUUUUGAUCCAUAAUUUAUGAUCAUAAGAUUAAGUUACCUUAGGGAUAACAGCGUAAUUGUUUUAGAGAGCUCAAAUCGACAAAGCAGAUUGCGACCUCGAUGUUGGAUUAAGAAAAAUGCUAGGUGCAGUGGGCUUAGUAAUUAGGUCUGUCGACCUUUAAAUUCUUACGUGA